GGUGCUUCAGGCAUGCAAGUCGAACGGACACUUCGGUGUUAGUGGCGGACGGGGUGAGUAACACGUAAGCAACCUGCCCAGAAGUGGGGAAUAACUGGCCGAAAGGCUAGCUAAUACCGCAUGUGAUGGCUUUUCCCUGGAGAGGUCAUUAAAGGCGAAAGUCGCUUCUGGAGGGGCUUGCGGCAGAUUAGCUUGUUGGUGGGGUAAUGGCCUACCAAGGCGACGAUCUGUAGCUGGUCUGAGAGGACGGACAGCCACACGGGGACUGAGAUACGGCCCCGACUCCUACGGGAGGCAGCAGCUAGGAAUCUUGGGAAUGGGCGAAAGCCUGACCCAGCAACGCCGCGUGGGCGAUGAAGGCCUUCGGGUUGUAAAGCCCUUUUGCAGGGGACGAUGAUGACGGUACCCUGCGAAUAAGCCACGGCUAACUACGUGCCAGCAGCCGCGGUAAUACGUAGGUGGCAAGCGUUGUCCGGAUUUACUGGGCGUAAAGGGCGUGCAGGCGGUCUGUUAAGUCUAGGGUGAAAGCUCCCGGCUCAACUGGGAGAGGUCCUUGGAUACUGGCGGACUUGAGGGAGGCAGAGGAGAAUAGAAUUCCCG
Molecule: ribosomal RNA, 600 nt
Filed under: uncultured soil bacterium S085
Lineage: Bacteria
Description: bacterial SSU rRNA
Rfam family: Bacterial small subunit ribosomal RNA
Source: RNAcentral